RNAcentral lists this ribosomal RNA (379 nucleotides) under uncultured eukaryote. RNAcentral describes it as "partial 18S ribosomal RNA". It matches the Rfam family "Eukaryotic small subunit ribosomal RNA", at positions 592 to 976 of the family's 1831-position model. The record is from RNAcentral.
CAAUAGCGUAUAUUAAAGUUGUUGCGGUAAAAAAGCUCGUAGUUGGAUUUCUGUUGAGAGCGACCGGUCCAUACCAUGUAUGCGUAUCUGGCUUGCUCUCGGCAUCCUCUCGAUAGACGUUACUGCGCUUGAUUGCGUGGUGCGGAUCUCGGGACUUUUACUUUGAGGAAAUUAGAGUGUUCACGGCAGGCUUUCGCCAGAAUACAUUAGCAUGGAAUAAUACUAUAGGAUCUUGGUUCUAUUUUGUUGGUUUCUAGAAUUGAGAUAAUGAUUAAUAGGGACAAUUGGGGGCAUUCGUAUCAACACGUCAGAGGUGGAAUUCUUGGAUUGUGUUGCGACGAACUACUGCGAAAGCAUUUGCCAAGGAUGUUUUCAUUGG